GAACUGAGACACGGUCCAGACUCCUACGGGAGGCAGCAGUGGGGAAUAUUGCGCAAUGGGGGGAACCCUGACGCAGCCAUGCCGCGUGAAUGAAGAAGGCCUUCGGGUUGUAAAGUUCUUUCGGUAAUGAGGAAGGGAUGUUGUUAAAUAGAUAGCAUCAUUGACGUUAAUUACAGAAGAAGCACCGGCUAACUCCGUGCCAGCAGCCGCGGUAAUACGGAGGGUGCGAGCGUUAAUCGGAAUAACUGGGCGUAAAGGGCACGCAGGCGGACUUUUAAGUGAGAUGUGAAAUCCCCGAGCUUAACUUGGGAACUGCAUUUCAGACUGGGAGUCUAGAGUACUUUAGGGAGGGGUAGAAUUCCACGUGUAGCGGUGAAAUGCGUAGAGAUGUGGAGGAAUACCGAAGGCGAAGGCAGCCCCUUGGGAAUGUACUGACGCUCAUGUGCGAAAGCGUGGGGAGCAAACAGGAUUAGAUACCCUGGUAGUCCACGCUGUAAACGCUGUCGAUUUGGGGAUUGGGCUAUAUGCUUGGUGCCCGAAGCUAACGUGAUAAAUCGACCGCCUGGGGAGUACGGCCGCAAGGUUAAAACUCAAAUGAAUUGACGGGGGCCCGCACAAGCGGUGGAGCAUGUGGUUUAAUUCGAUGCAACGCGAAGAACCUUACCUACUCUUGACAUCCUAAGAAGAGCUCAGAGAUGAGCUUGUGCCUUCGGGAACUUAGAGACAGGUGCUGCAUGGCUGUCGUCAGCUCGUGUUGUGAAAUGUUGGGUUAAGUCCCGCAACGAGCGCAACCCUUAUCCUUUGUUGCCAGCGAUUCGGUCGGGAACUCAAAGGAGACUGCCAGUGACAA
This 850-nucleotide ribosomal RNA is filed under the name Pasteurella sp. RNAcentral's name for it is "bacterial SSU rRNA". It matches the Rfam family "Bacterial small subunit ribosomal RNA", at positions 316 to 1161 of the family's 1533-position model. The record is from RNAcentral. Lineage: Bacteria; Pseudomonadati; Pseudomonadota; Gammaproteobacteria; Pasteurellales; Pasteurellaceae.